This 412-nucleotide unclassified non-coding RNA is filed under the name soil metagenome. RNAcentral describes it as "partial contains 5.8S ribosomal RNA, internal transcribed spacer 2, and large subunit ribosomal RNA". The stretch from base 1 to 122 matches the Rfam family "5.8S ribosomal RNA", at positions 35 to 154 of the family's 154-position model. The record is from RNAcentral.
GAUGAAGAACGCAGUGAAAUGCGAUACUUGGUGUGAAUUGCAGAAUCCCGUGAACCAUCGAGUCUUUGAACGCAAGUUGCGCCCGAAGCCGUCAGGCCGAGGGCACGCCUGCCUGGGCGUCACACGCCGUUGCCCCCCCGCGCCCCGCACCCAACUCUUUGGGAGCGACCGCGGGGCGGGCUGAUGAUGGCCUCCCGUGCGCUCCGCCGCGCGGUUGGCCCAAAUACCGAGUCCCCGGCGACGUGCGCCACGACGAUCGGUGGUUGAGAGACCUCUGUCGCAAGUCGUGCGCGCCCGUCGCGUCACGCGGGCUCGCAUAGCGCCUCGCGCCGCACCCGGUGCGGAGCUUUCAACGCGACCCCAGGUCAGGCGGGGUUACCCGCUGAAUUUAAGCAUAUCAAUAAGCGGAGGA